Molecule: long non-coding RNA, 2894 nt
Organism: Mus musculus (house mouse)
Lineage: Eukaryota; Metazoa; Chordata; Mammalia; Rodentia; Muridae
Product: predicted gene, 32917
Exons: 5
Source: RefSeq, a predicted model, not a curated record
AAUAUAUUAACAAGUUGUAGUUCCACCAACCGAAGGCUUAAAGUUCUCUCAGAAUCUCAGACCUACAGCAGCAUUCUCUCCAUCUGGCUGAAACCACCUCUCUCAUGUCUCCUCAAAUGAAUUUGGAAAGUAUCUUGAUUUAUGACUUUCUUGGUUCUAUGACUUACAAAAAGUUCACGAAGUGGCUUCCACCAUGGAGCACGGAUUUUUCGGGUGACCUAAAUCUGAGUUUCUUGGCCACAGUCACUCCUAGCUGGCUUUGGAAUAAACUUCUUCUUAUCUCAAGAGCCGUGUUUUGGCUUGGACAGUCACGAUGCUCAAGCAAUGAUCCACUUUUUGUGGGAAGAGCCACUUGGAUGGAAACAAGUCUUCUAUUCACAGGCAGAUGCUGUUGGCAGAGCCAUCCCGUUCCGCUUUUCAGCCUUCACAAUUGCAUGUAAACGGAGUUGGCAUUGCAGGAGAGCUUUCAUGGGGCAGCCAAGUGUGCCCUCAGCUCACUUUCCGCUGUAAAAUCAUCAGCAAGUCUCUGUGCCACGGGAAGGUGGGAAGGUACCUCCUCUGAGUGCAUCGGCACGUGGGUGCCUUCUGCUGCCCCUGACCUUCCGACAGCCCAAGGCCUUUCAUAGUUCAGAAGGUACACCAAAUAACAGUUGGUUCCCCCUUGGUUUGUCUGUCCUCUUCCUUCUCCUUCCCUCUGUCCCUCUCCUCUUCCUUCCUUGGUGCCAUUUAAAUCCAGGGUUUAAAUCUUGCUCUUCUAGGCAAGCACUCUACACUGAGCCACACACCUGCCCUCUUUUCCAACUCUCAAUAGGUUGCCAGGCUGGCCAAGUGGAGACAUUCCUGCUGCAAGCUCCCAAUAGCAGGGAUAAAAGGUGUAGCACCUUGCAGGGCCCUCGUUUCUUUUCUAGGUCGGGGGAAGAACAUCACGUAAUUACAAUGAAAUAGCACUUGGAAAGGUGGAAAACAGUUCUUUAGACUCACCCCAUAACAGGUACCCUGAACUUUACCUCUUUCAAGAGCUGUUCCAGGGGCUGGAGAGAUGGCUCAGCAGUAAACACUUGCUCUUGCAUGCAUAGGUCUUGAGUUCAGUUUCCAGCACCCAUAUUAGGCAGUUCAUAUGUGACUCCAGCCCCAGGGGAGGAUCUGAUGCCCUCUUCUGGUCUCUUUGUGUAUCCAAACUUACUUACUUACGUACAUACACACACACACACACACACUCUUUAAAAGAGAGAGAGAUCCCAAUUACUACUACUAUGAACUACCUUAUUCUGAACUCUUCUCUUUCUCUAAUACUGGAGGGGAAACUGAGGCAUGCAGCUGUGACUGAGGCAGCAAGUUUCCUGAAGACCACGCAUUGCCUAGUUAUUUCCUUCUCCAGGUGUGGUCCUGGCCGCCUGGGGCACUGGGAAGAGAUGAAGGCAUUCAUUACAGCUGCAGAAGGAGCCAAGGGUCAGGCAGGCAGCUAAGGAGUUCACCUGUUUGUUGGAGCUGGUCCUGCAUGAGAACGUGCAAGCUGGUUGGAUGGGCUGACCUUGCCUCCUUCCUUAUUAUGGCCACUGAGGAAGAGAAAACUCUUUCAUAACAAGUGACUGGGAAGUUAGUUCUCAGAAGUGUAGUUAAAGUUUAAUGACACCUACAUGGGAUGGGUGGGAAUGGGCUGGUUUCAUUGGUAGGCCUGUGUACAGGCAGAAGGCUGCACAUAGAUGGAAUCUGCACAUGUUUAAAGUUUUGCUGUUUCCCUUCUUGAAAUGUUUGGAGACAACAGUCUCUACAUAUUCACUGAGUUAUCAUUGAGUGGGGCAAGGGACAAGGGCAGAUUGAUCGUGUUUGCCUCCUGGCGGCAUCUUGACCUCCCCAGGGUUAUCAAAGGGCAUCCGGGCAAAUGGGAACGGCAGCCCCCUACAUCGGCACACCUGCUUGGUCUCCGGAAAUGCUUGCUCCCUAUCCACCACAUCUAGUGGCUCCAGGUCGGCCAAAUCUAGCUCUCAAAGUCUGACUCUGUGCUUGUGACUUCCAUCACACUGUCACCUGCUGCAAGCCAGAGUGGUCACCAACCUCUGUUGAGUGCUUGCUCAACAAAGUCUUGUCAGUGCUUGCUGCGGGUUGGGCCCUGGAAUGCGGAGGAUGUCGCCUGCCAGACUUUGGCUUGCAGUAAUCUGGAUCUGAUAUAGCAGGAUGCCUAGGGCUGCAGGGGAUAAGAGGCAGAGGAGGCCCCUGGUGGGAGCCAGGAAGGGGCCUGGGGGGUGGUGAAGGAAUGCACCAGGAACCAGGUUGGAGCGAUAGUUUUGUUAUCUCCCCCACCCCACCCCCCACCUUCAGGGCAAAAACCAGCCCUAAGACCUUUCCUUGGAAUUCUAAACCUCAUUCCUCACUCAGAGGGGGUUACUUAAGGUGGACAGAGGCUGUUCGUGAAAGAUAGGAGAAGCCUGACGUGGCGGCUCAUUCCUCUAAUUCCGGCACUUUGGAGACUCAGGCGGAGGAGGGAGUCCCAGGUCUUUUAACACCUGCCUGGCAGAUAGCUGUGUCUGCUCAGCUUGGAGUGGCGGCGUCUGUCUGGAAACCAGUUCAAACCAAUGGCUUAGAGACUUGUAAGGAUGCGUUCUGAACUCCACGUGGGGAGCUGAGCAGAGGGGCGAGGCGUUUCAGCACCACAGGGUGGACAGCACUCCUGGGGAGACUUGAGAAGCCUUCUGCGGCGAUAGCUGCCGGCCUCCUGCGCCUCCUUCCGCCCUUUUCAUCCGGAUCUUCACCCAGGUUUAUCCCUGCGGAGAGAUCGUCUCCUCCCCGCAGAGUUAUCCUGCAGGCUUCAACACCAGAGGUUGACGAGGUCCUGGAGCUGUGUGUACUCAGAGUAUCAUGAAUAAAGAGUGCAAGAAGUGGGGAGAGGGCCAAAG